Small nuclear RNA from Physeter macrocephalus (sperm whale), 104 nucleotides. Lineage: Eukaryota; Metazoa; Chordata; Mammalia; Artiodactyla; Physeteridae. The record is from Ensembl.
GUGCUCCCUUCAGCAGGACAUGUACUAAAAUUGGAGCAAUACAAGGAUUAGCAUGGUUCCUAUGCAAGGAUGACACAAAAAUUUGGGAAAUGUUCCAUAUUUUC